CCUACUGGUGAGCAGCAGUGGGGAAGUUUGCGCAAUGCUCGUAAGAGUGACGCAGCGAAGCCGCGUGAAUGACGAAGGCCUGCGGGGCGUAAAGUUCUUUCGACAGGGAAGAAAAUGCCUAGAAGUAACUGUGUAGGGAUUGACGGUACCUGUAUAAGCAGCCCCGGCUAACUCCGUGCCAGCAGCCGCGGUAAUACGGAGGGGGCGAGCGUUGUUAGGAGUGACUGGGCGUAACGAGCACGUAGGCGGUGUUGUAAGUCAUUAGUCAAAGACUAUCGCUCAACUUUAGUAAGGCUAGUGAUACUCUCAUACUAGAGUAUCAGUGAGGCUUGCAGAAUUCCUUGUGUAGCGGUGAACUGCGUAGAUAUCAGGAGGAAUCCCGUUCGCGAAGGCGGCACUCUGGCUGGAACCUGACGCUGAGGUGCGACAGCGUGGGUAGCAAACAGGAUUAGAUACCCGGGUAGUC
Molecule: ribosomal RNA, 466 nt
Filed under: uncultured bacterium
Lineage: Bacteria
Description: partial 16S ribosomal RNA
Rfam family: Bacterial small subunit ribosomal RNA
Source: RNAcentral